UACGAAGGGUGCAAGCGUUACUCGGAAUUACUGGGCGUAAAGCGUGCGUAGGUGGUUCGUUAAGUCUGAUGUGAAAGCUCUGGGCUCAACCUGGGAAUGGCAUUGGAAACUGGCGACCUAGAGUGCGGUAGAGGGUAGUGGAAUUCCCGGUGUAGCAGUGAAAUGCGUAGAGAUCGGGAGGAACAUCUGUGGCGAAGGCGACUGCCUGGACCAGCACUGACACUGAGGCACGAAAGCGUGGGGAGCAAACAGG
This 253-nucleotide ribosomal RNA is filed under the name uncultured bacterium. RNAcentral describes it as "partial 16S ribosomal RNA". It matches the Rfam family "Bacterial small subunit ribosomal RNA", at positions 524 to 776 of the family's 1533-position model. The record is from RNAcentral.